GACGAACGCUGGCGGCGUGCUUAACACAUGCGAGUCGAACGGAAAGGCCCUGCUUUUGUGGGGUGCUCGAGUGGCGAACGGGUGAGUAACACGUGAGUAACCUGCCCUUGACUUUGGGAUAACUUCAGGAAACUGGGGCUAAUACCGGAUAGGAGCUCCUGCUGCACGGUGGGGGUUGGAAAGUUUCGGCGGUUGGGGAUGGACUCGCGGCUUAUCAGCUUGUUGGGGGGGUAGUGGUUUACCAAGGCUUUGACGGGUAGCCGGCCUGAGAGGGUGACCGGCCACAUUGGUACUGAGGUACGGCCCAGACUCCUACGGGAGGCAGCAGUGGGGAAUAUUGCGCAAUGGGCGGAAGCCUGAUGCAGCAGCGCCGCGUGCGGGAUGACGGCCUUCGGGUUGUAAACCGCUUUCGCCUGUGACGAAGCGUGAGUGACGGUAAUGGGUAAAGAAGCACCGGCUAACUACGUG
Molecule: ribosomal RNA, 468 nt
Filed under: uncultured bacterium
Lineage: Bacteria
Description: partial 16S ribosomal RNA
Rfam family: Bacterial small subunit ribosomal RNA
Source: RNAcentral